ACAGGAUUGAGUGGAAAACAAUCGUUAUAUCACGCAUUUCCCGAACAAAUGUAUGGUAAAACAUGGUUUUAUAGGUAUAUUAACAUCCAGUAUGACAGUUUAUAGUUCCGUUGUAUUGACAAAAUUGGGCAAGUAACUCAAUCAGACAUAAAAAGGUUCAUAUUCAGGACAUACAUCACAUACACACAACACAAAUCAACUGACUAAAAAAUUCAAACAAACAAAUAAAAUCCAACAUAGACGCCAACAAAUAAGUCGUAGUUAAACGGUUGAAAGGACGUUUAAGUAAUAAGAGGACUGGGUUGUCAAUUGUAAAUUGUUUCCACUAUUUUUUCUCUCUGAAAUGUUUAUUUUCAUAUUUGUAAGAUCUGUUUUCUAUUUGAGCAAGAUUUUUGGUUUAGAAAGAGACAAUAAUAUGCUAAUGUUUGAAUAGAAACUUGUGCUUAGGAUAUAAGAUCUAACUGCGUGACUAAAGUAAAGCUACCUCAAUAAGAAGUUUAAAUGUCCCUUUACACAUUGUUGCUACAAUAUAAUAUUGGCAAAAGUACUUUGCUGACCUUUUAAAAAACAGAAACACAAUUUAAAAAUUGAUAAUCGACUGAUUACUUUGAUAUAGAGCAGACUCAUUUUUUCUUUUCGAUUCCGAUAUUUGACGGGCUGGUAAUUAAUAAAAAAAAAAAAAAAAACAAAACAAAAUAGCAAUAAACAUUCUUUUCAUGUACGUGCGGUGUAAUGCAUGUUUGUCCUCGAGUCGGCUUUGUUUUUUCUUUGUUUUUUCCAUAAGCGAAUGAUAAUAUUAACCCUUGAAAUGCUUACAGCGACAAUGAAUUACGAAAUUUCGUUAUAGCAGCUAGACGAAAGUGCGUAGUCUUCUCUUUUUUAACUUUAAGAUAUACUUUUUGCUUACUGAACUAUUGAAAAAAGAACAUGAAAACCAUAAAACUGGUCUAUUUUCACUGGCAGUAUUUGUUGUAUUAUGAAGACAAUUUGGUCUAAUGAAAAAAAAUAUGAUAUUGACUUCUAACCGACUCAAUAUACUUCAGUAUUAUUUGCGUGUUUUAAGAUUUCAUUUCUUAAUCAAACAUAAAUAACCACUGCGCC
RNAcentral lists this long non-coding RNA (1101 nucleotides) under Mytilus galloprovincialis (Mediterranean mussel). The record is from RNAcentral. Lineage: Eukaryota; Metazoa; Mollusca; Bivalvia; Mytilida; Mytilidae.